This is a non-coding RNA of Pelobates cultripes (western spadefoot toad), 334 nucleotides long. The record is from the annotation of a GenBank genome assembly. NCBI's taxonomy places the organism in Eukaryota, Metazoa, Chordata, Amphibia, Anura, Pelobatidae.
UGACAAUUCUGCACAAUGUUUUGAUAGAUACUAUUCAUGUAAGAUAAACGUGUCUAAUUCUGCUGCAGGGAAGAUAGGCAAGACACGGAUGGAACUGCUUAAGUACUAAAUGUUAGGUUACAUGCUAGGCAAAUCAUGGUUGGAACUGUUUAAGUAAUAAAUGUUAGGUUACAUGUUAGGCAAAUCAUGGUUGGAACUGUUUAAGUAAUAAAUGUUAGGUUACAUGUUAGGCAAAUCAUAGUUGGAACUCUUUAAGUAAUAAACAAAAAGAGAGAGAAAAUGAGUUUCCUAACAAGUUAAAAUAUAACUUUUUUUUAGUGAUGCUAAAAUCAGU